CAUGGAAGUCGACGCGCGCCCUUGCGCGCGUGGCGUACGGCUCAGUAACGCGUGGUUAACCUGCCCUCGCGAUGGGGAUAACCUCGGGAAACUGAGGAUAAUCCUCAAUAGGCGAUUGGAUCUGGAAGGACCUUUCGCCAAAAGGGACAGGGCGAAUGGGCUCUGUCUGCGCGAGGAUGGGACUGCGUCCCAUCAGGCAGUUGGUGGGGUAAUGGCCCACCAAACCUAUAACGGGUACGGGCCGUGAGAGCGGGAGCCCGGAGAUGGGCACUGAGACAAGGGCCCAGGCUCUACGGAGCGCACCAAGCGCGAAACCUUCGCAAUGCGGGAAACCGUGGCGGGGCCAUCCCGAGUGCAGGCUGCUGAGGUCUGCUUUUGCCCAGUGUAAGAAGCUGGGCGAAUAAGUGGGGGGCAAGACUGGUGUCAGCCGCCGCGGUAAUACCAGCUCCACGAGUGGUCAGGACGGUUAUUGGGCCUAAAGCGUCCGUAGCCGGCCCGGUAAGUUUAUGGUGAAAUCCGGCAUCUCAAGUGUCGGAGCGCUGUAAAUACUGCCGGGCUAGGGAGCGGGAGAGGCCGAGGGUACCUCCGGGGUAGGGGCGAAAUCCUAUAAUCCCGGAGUGACGACCAGUGGCGAAAGCGCUCGGCUAGAACGCGUCCGACGGUGAGGGACGAAAGCUGGG
This 680-nucleotide ribosomal RNA is filed under the name uncultured archaeon. RNAcentral's name for it is "bacterial SSU rRNA". It matches the Rfam family "Archaeal small subunit ribosomal RNA", at positions 50 to 715 of the family's 1478-position model. The record is from RNAcentral.